Molecule: ribosomal RNA, 203 nt
Filed under: uncultured Synergistaceae bacterium
Lineage: Bacteria; Thermotogati; Synergistota; Synergistia; Synergistales; Synergistaceae
Description: partial 16S ribosomal RNA
Rfam family: Bacterial small subunit ribosomal RNA
Source: RNAcentral
UCAAGUCAUCAUGGCCCUUACUGUCCAGGGCGGACACACGUGCUACAAUGGCCGGCACAACGGGAAGGCGAGUUCGCGAGGACGAGCGGAUCCCCUCAAAGCCGGCCGCAGUUCGGAUUGAAGUCUGCAACUCGACUUCAUGAAGCUGGAAUCGCUAGUAAUCGUGGAUCAGCCAAGCCGCGGUGAAUACGUUCCCGGGCCUU